GACGAACCGAGCGAACGUUGUUCGGAAUCACUGGGCAUAAAGGGCGCGUAGGCGGGCCGUCAAGUCAGGGGUGAAAUCCUCCAGCUUAACUGGAGAACUGCCUUUGAUACUGACGGUCUCGAGUGAGGUAGGGGCGUGCGGAACUGAUGGUGGAGCGGUGAAAUGUGUUGAUAUCAUCAGGAACUCCGGUGGCGAAAGCGGCACGCUGGACCUUUACUGACGCUGAGGCGCGAAAGCCAGGGGAGCGAACGG
RNAcentral lists this ribosomal RNA (252 nucleotides) under uncultured bacterium. RNAcentral describes it as "partial 16S ribosomal RNA". It matches the Rfam family "Bacterial small subunit ribosomal RNA", at positions 524 to 775 of the family's 1533-position model. The record is from RNAcentral.